GGCGAGCGAACGGGAAAGAGCCCAAACCAGAAACUUGUUUCUGGGGUUGUGGAUAGAUCAUAAAAGAAGAGGUAUCUUAAUCGAAGAGGGCUGGAACGCCCUACCAUAGAAGGUAAUAGUCCUGUAGGUAAAAAGAGAAAACUUCGAGAUCUAAUCCAGAGUACCACGAGACACGUGAAACCUUGUGGGAAGCAGGGAGGACCACCUCCCAAGGCUAAAUACUACCUAGUGACCGAUAGUGAAGCAGUACCG
This 252-nucleotide ribosomal RNA is filed under the name Clostridium botulinum. RNAcentral's name for it is "partial 23S ribosomal RNA". It matches the Rfam family "Bacterial large subunit ribosomal RNA", at positions 248 to 503 of the family's 2925-position model. Lineage: Bacteria; Bacillati; Bacillota; Clostridia; Eubacteriales; Clostridiaceae. The record is from RNAcentral.